Molecule: ribosomal RNA, 253 nt
Filed under: uncultured bacterium
Lineage: Bacteria
Description: partial 16S ribosomal RNA
Rfam family: Bacterial small subunit ribosomal RNA
Source: RNAcentral
UACGUAGGGGGCAAGCGUUGUCCGGAAUCAUUGGGCGUAAAGCGCGCGUAGGCGGCCCGGUAAGUCCGUUGUAAAAGUCGAAGGCUCAACCUUCGAAAGCCGAUGGAUACUGCCGGGCUAGAGUCCGGAAGAGGCGAGUGGAAUUCCUGGUGUAGCGGUGAAAUGCGCAGAUAUCAGGAGGAACACCGGUGGCGAAGGCGGAUCUCUGGGCCUUACCUGACGCUCAGGCGCGAAAGCUAGGGGAGCGAACAGG